UAUAUUUUAUUAUUGCUUUGGUUUGCCCUUAUUUGGUGCUGGUUGAAAGGUUAAUAAGUUUCUUAGCCCUGGCUUUGAAUUGUGUUCCCUUAUGGAAUGGUCUCCCUUUUUCGAAUAAUUCGUUGAGCGCGCAAUUUAACCCGGAAUUUACUAUGGAUUCAUGCACUUAUACUUAGAGUAGUGUGUGGACACAAAACACAUAGCAUAAUGUAUGUCUUAUAAAUGCAGUAUUAAUUAUAGUUAUCCAAAAUUUGCGUAGGUAUUAUGUAGCUUCUUUCUUACAUUAGUCUAUAACU
This is a non-coding RNA of Cinara cedri, 296 nucleotides long. The record is from the annotation of a GenBank genome assembly. NCBI's taxonomy places the organism in Eukaryota, Metazoa, Arthropoda, Insecta, Hemiptera, Aphididae.